This 74-nucleotide transfer RNA is filed under the name Thermoprotei archaeon. RNAcentral describes it as "tRNA-Asn". It matches the Rfam family "tRNA". Rfam says of the family: Transfer RNA (tRNA) molecules are approximately 80 nucleotides in length. Their secondary structure includes four short double-helical elements and three loops (D, anti-codon, and T loops). Further hydrogen bonds mediate the characteristic L-shaped molecular structure. tRNAs have two regions of fundamental functional importance: the anti-codon, which is responsible for specific mRNA codon recognition, and the 3' end, to which the tRNAs corresponding amino acid is attached (by aminoacyl-tRNA synthetases). tRNAs cope with the degeneracy of the genetic code in two manners: having more than one tRNA (with a specific anti-codon) for a particular amino acid; and 'wobble' base-pairing, i.e. permitting non-standard base-pairing at the 3rd anti-codon position. Lineage: Archaea; Thermoproteati; Thermoproteota; Thermoprotei. The record is from RNAcentral. RNAcentral also lists the same sequence under 1 other name.
GCCGGGGUAGCUCAGCCUGGGAGAGCACGCGGCUGUUAACCGCGUGGUCGUGGGUUCGAAUCCCACCCCCGGCG